UGGCUCGUAGCUCAAUUGGCCAGAGUAUCCCGCCCUUGGCGGGAGAGUUGUGGGUUCGAGCCCCACCGGGCCAA
RNAcentral lists this transfer RNA (74 nucleotides) under Chitinophagaceae bacterium. RNAcentral's name for it is "tRNA-Lys". It matches the Rfam family "tRNA". Rfam says of the family: Transfer RNA (tRNA) molecules are approximately 80 nucleotides in length. Their secondary structure includes four short double-helical elements and three loops (D, anti-codon, and T loops). Further hydrogen bonds mediate the characteristic L-shaped molecular structure. tRNAs have two regions of fundamental functional importance: the anti-codon, which is responsible for specific mRNA codon recognition, and the 3' end, to which the tRNAs corresponding amino acid is attached (by aminoacyl-tRNA synthetases). tRNAs cope with the degeneracy of the genetic code in two manners: having more than one tRNA (with a specific anti-codon) for a particular amino acid; and 'wobble' base-pairing, i.e. permitting non-standard base-pairing at the 3rd anti-codon position. Lineage: Bacteria; Pseudomonadati; Bacteroidota; Chitinophagia; Chitinophagales; Chitinophagaceae. The record is from RNAcentral.